GACGAACGCUGGCGGCGUGCCUAAUACAUGCAAGUCGAGCGCAGGAAACUGACGGAACUCUUCGGAGGGAAGGCAGUGGAAUGAGCGGCGGACGGGUGAGUAACACGUAAGGAACCUGCCUCAAGGAUUGGGAUAACUCCGAGAAAUCGGAGCUAAUACCGGAUAGUUCAACGGACCGCAUGGUCCGCUGAUGAAAGGCGCUUCGGCGUCACCUUGAGAUGGCCUUGCGGUGCAUUAGCUAGUUGGUGGGGUAACGGCCCACCAAGGCGACGAUGCAUAGCCGACCUGAGAGGGUGAUCGGCCAAACUGGGACUGAGACACGGCCCAGACUCCUACGGGAGGCAGCAGUAGGGAAUCUUCCACAAUGGACGAAAGUCUGAUGGAGCAACGCCGCGUGAGUGAUGAAGGUUUUCGGAUCGUAAAACUCUGUUGUAAGGGAAGAACACGUACGAGAGGGAAUGCUCGUACCUUGACGGUACCUUACGAGAAAGCCACGGCUAACUACGUGCCAGCCGCCGCGGUAA
Molecule: ribosomal RNA, 524 nt
Filed under: uncultured bacterium
Lineage: Bacteria
Description: partial 16S ribosomal RNA
Rfam family: Bacterial small subunit ribosomal RNA
Source: RNAcentral